CACAAACUAAAAUAUGAAGGCUUCGGCUGGAUUAUUUUUAUCACCCUUGUCUUUUGCGCACUUGUUGUUUCCUCGGGCGGGUCCGCCCGCACCAUUGGACACACAUUAAACCAUUUAUGCAGUUGCAAUCAGCGUCAGUAUAAAAACUGUAAUCAUUUA
RNAcentral lists this unclassified non-coding RNA (159 nucleotides) under soil metagenome. Its description in RNAcentral is "partial internal transcribed spacer 1". The record is from RNAcentral.